This 632-nucleotide long non-coding RNA is filed under the name Mytilus galloprovincialis (Mediterranean mussel). Lineage: Eukaryota; Metazoa; Mollusca; Bivalvia; Mytilida; Mytilidae. The record is from RNAcentral.
GAAAUAAGACGAGCAUAUUGGAAAUAUAUAGAGUAUAUAAUAACACCUGAUCCCAAAGAAGACAAACCAAACUGCAUGAAACGUUUCUGGACAUUCAUCAAGCACAAAAGAUCAGACGGAAACCUUAUACUACCAUUAAGGAACAAUGGACUACUCCAUCCUGAGUCAGUUGAAAAGGCUAACAUACUAAAUAAACAGUUCCAAUCAGUUUUUCUCUGAAAAAAAACCCCAACUUUACAGAAACCGAAUUCAAAAACCGUUGUGACAUGACCAACAACAACUACCCUGGACUUCAAAUAAAGACCUGAACAUAACAGAAAAUGGAAUAGCAAAACUAUUGUCCAACCUAAACCCAUUUAAAGCUGCGGGUCCAGACACCAUUACAUCAAGGGUGCUGAGGGAAUUAGCCAUAGACAUUGCACCAAUCCUUACCACCAUUUUCAGACGAUCAUAUGAAACAGGCGAUUUACCGGACAUAUGGAAAAAGGCUAACGUAAUCCCAAUAUUCAAGAAGGGAAAACGGUUUGAUUCAGUAGUCUCGCUUACCUGCAUUUGUUACAAAAUCAUGGAGUACAUUGUAACAAGCCACAUAAUGGCCCAUGCUGACAAACACAACAUACUGUAUCCACUCC